GGACCAUUAGCUCAGCUGGUUAGAGCAAACGGCUCAUAACCGUUCGGUCGAUGGUUCCCAUCAUGGUCCA
This 70-nucleotide transfer RNA is filed under the name Enterococcus faecalis. RNAcentral describes it as "tRNA-Ile". It matches the Rfam family "tRNA". From Rfam's summary of the family: Transfer RNA (tRNA) molecules are approximately 80 nucleotides in length. Their secondary structure includes four short double-helical elements and three loops (D, anti-codon, and T loops). RNAcentral also lists the same sequence under 4 other names. Lineage: Bacteria; Bacillati; Bacillota; Bacilli; Lactobacillales; Enterococcaceae. The record is from RNAcentral.